GGGGAUGUAUUUGGUUUCGACAGUAUUUUAGAAGUAAAAAUAGCGAGUAGUGGAUUCGCCUGGCCACUAUAAAAGGCGAAAAAUAAAUAUAAACGCUGAUAAUAGAGAAUUAGCAUACGCUGCCUAAUUAAGGUAGCUCGUCUUACUCUGAAUGCCCACGUUUAGAGAAUAAGGCGUCAUUUAGUGGGAAACAAACCUAUUUCUUGCCAUAGAAAUAGCGGGUAUUUUAAUGGCUACUCUAAUUUAAAUUUUGUUUGUUAAUUUAAUUUUAGAGGAAUUUUUAUAACAAACUACACUCGUAGAAGUUUUUAUGGAUGGAAUAUUGGACAGGAGUUCGACUCUCCUCAUCUCCACCA
Molecule: transfer-messenger RNA, 356 nt
Filed under: Clostridia
Lineage: Bacteria; Bacillati; Bacillota
Also listed under: 1 other name
Description: CAG-273 sp003534295 Standard tmRNA
Rfam family: transfer-messenger RNA
About the family: Bacterial tmRNA, also known as 10Sa RNA or SsrA, is named for its dual tRNA and mRNA-like properties. Its role is to liberate the mRNA from a stalled ribosome. To accomplish this part of the tmRNA is used as a reading frame that ends in a translation stop signal.
Source: RNAcentral